This 537-nucleotide ribosomal RNA is filed under the name uncultured fungus. Its description in RNAcentral is "eukaryotic LSU rRNA". The stretch from base 184 to 337 matches the Rfam family "5.8S ribosomal RNA". The record is from RNAcentral. Lineage: Eukaryota; Fungi.
GUCGUAACAAGGUUUCCGUAGGUGAACCUGCGGAAGGAUCAUUACCUAGAGUUGUAGGCUUUGCCUGCUAUCUCUUACCCAUGUCUUUUGAGUACCUUCGUUUCCUCGGCGGGUCCGCCCGCCGAUUGGACAAUUUAAACCAUUUGCAGUUGCAAUCAGCGUCUGAAAAAACUUAGUAGUUACAACUUUCAACAACGGAUCUCUUGGUUCUGGCAUCGAUGAAGAACGCAGCGAAAUGCGAUAAGUAGUGUGAAUUGCAGAAUUCAGUGAAUCAUCGAAUCUUUGAACGCACAUUGCGCCCCUUGGUAUUCCAUGGGGCAUGCCUGUUCGAGCGUCAUUUGUACCUUCAAGCUCUGCUUGGUGUUGGGUGUUUGUCUCGCCUCUGCGCGUAGACUCGCCUCAAAACAAUUGGCAGCCGGCGUAUUGAUUUCGGAGCGCAGUACAUCUCGCGCUUUGCACUCAGAACGACGACGUCCAAAAGUACAUUUUUACACUCUUGACCUCGGAUCAGGUAGGGAUACCCGCUGAACUUAAGCA